CAGCCGCGGAAUUCCAGCUCCAAUAGCGUAUAUUAAAGUUGCUGCAGUUAAAAAGCUCGUAGUUGAAUUUCGGGACCAUCAUGUCGGUCGUGCCUCGGUACGUACUGGCAUUGUUGGUUUCUCCCUUCUGACGAACCAUGAUGUCAUUUCUUUGGUGUUGUGGGAAAUCAGGACUGUUACUUUGAAAAAAUUAGAGUGUUUAAAGCAGGCUCACGCUUGAAUACAUUAGCAUGGAAUAAUGAAAUAGGACGUUUGAUUCUAUUUUGUUGGUUUCUAGGAUCGACGUAAUGAUUAAUAGGGAUAGUUGGGGGAAUUAGUAUUCAAUUGUCAGAGGUGAAAUUCUUGGAUUUAUUGAAGACUAACUACUGCGAAAGCAUUUGCCAAGGAUGUUUUCAUUAAUCAAGAACGAAAGUUAGGGGAUCGAAGACGAUCAGAUACCGUCGUAGUCUUAACCAUAAACUAUGCCGACUAGGGAUCGGAUGAUGUUAAUUUUUUAAUGACUCAUUCGGCGCCUUACG
This 518-nucleotide unclassified non-coding RNA is filed under the name uncultured Glomeromycotina. RNAcentral describes it as "SSU rRNA". It matches the Rfam family "Eukaryotic small subunit ribosomal RNA", at positions 571 to 1092 of the family's 1831-position model. The record is from RNAcentral. Lineage: Eukaryota; Fungi; Glomeromycota.